AUGUCAACAUGAGCAAAUCUAGGUUUACAAGAUAGCGCAUCACCAUUAAUAGAACAACUUACAUUCUUUCAUGACCAUGCAUUACUAAUUCUUUUAAUAAUCACUAUUAUAGUAGGAUAUAUUAUAGUAAUAUUAUUUUUUAACAAUUAUACCAACCGGUUUCUUUUGCAUGGUCAAACUAUUGAAAUAAUUUGAACAAUUCUGCCAGCAAUUGUAUUACUUUUUAUUGCCUUCCCAUCUCUUAAAUUAUUAUACUUACUAGACGAAAUUAAUGAACCAUCCAUUACACUAAAAACUAUUGGCCAUCAAUGAUACUGAAGCUAUGAAUAUUCAGAUUUUAUAGAUUUAGAAUUUGACUCAUACAUAAUCCCAACUAAUGAACUUUCACCAAACAAUUUUCGACUAUUAGACGUAGACAACCGAGUAAUUUUACCUACCAACACACAAGUACGUGUAUUAAUUACUGCUGCAGAUGUUAUCCAUUCAUGAACAGUACCAGCAUUAGGAGUAAAAGUUGAUGGAACCCCAGGACGAUUGAACCAAACAAACUUCUCUAUUAACCGUCCUGGAUUAUUUUACGGGCAGUGUUCUGAAAUUUGUGGGGCAAAUCACAGAUUCAUACCAAUUGUAAUUGAAAGUGUACCAGUAAAUUAUUUUAUUAAAUGACUAUCA
This 672-nucleotide ribosomal RNA is filed under the name Opomydas limbatus. RNAcentral describes it as "partial 16S ribosomal RNA". Lineage: Eukaryota; Metazoa; Arthropoda; Insecta; Diptera; Mydidae. The record is from RNAcentral.